CUCUCUCUUGACCGGUUACCUAAGGGCCUUCUCCCCCACUUUGCUUUCUUUUUCACACAAAACACACACACACACACAACUCCAUCUCUCUCUCUCACCUUCACCGGCCACCACUCCAUUGGAUAACCACCACCAUCUUUUUGCGACGAGAUUCACCGAGGAACUUCGUAAAAAUCUCUAGGCUCCUUCAUCUCAAACUAUUAAGGUUCUAACUAAUUCUUGUGGGGGCACUUGGAAGCUAGGCUUUUAUGCGGUAUUACAAGAGCAGGCAGCAACCUUUUGAGUUAGAUGUUAUGGCUUGCCGUAGUUAGGCAACUACUGAUGGAGGCUGAACUUUUGUGAUGGAAAUACUUAGAUGAUAUCAUAGUGUAGGCUUGACUCAUUUUUUUGUAUCUGAUAAUGGUUAUGACUACAUUUCCACUAAUGAGACAAGUUAAAUAAUAUGUAAUUAUAUUUAUUCAAACCUCCAUUUUUUUGUGGUCAAUGGUCAUUGUAAUUAUUGCAUAGAGUUCUGGCUUACUUCGGGAAUAUCUUUAUGGAAUUAUUAUGAUA
Molecule: long non-coding RNA, 552 nt
Organism: Quercus robur (English oak)
Lineage: Eukaryota; Viridiplantae; Streptophyta; Magnoliopsida; Fagales; Fagaceae
Exons: 3
Source: RefSeq, a predicted model, not a curated record